CCCAACCUGAACUGGGAAUCCAGGAGGCAAAUUGUAGUCUCUAGGAUAUUGGAAUAACAAGGGUGUCAGCACUUUCCCUCAACCUUCAAGGGUAGACUGAGGAUCAUGCAAGGCUUCAAUCACACCAGAAGAUACAAGUAAAGAAAGGCAGGGGCCCAUCCAUAAGAAUUGUAUAGUCGUGGUAAAGGUUAGGGAGAUUGGAGAUCGUGGGUCUGCAUGUACUUGGGGCCUAUACUCGGUAACUCAUACUGGACACAGCUCUGAGUAUACUUUCUACUGUAGUUAGGGAUGGCUGGGAUAUGGAUGAAGCUGAACCUGAAGAGUGAAUUCCUCUGUGUUUGAAACCAAAAAGACAGAGAAAUGCAAGAGCAAACAUUGUUCCUGCCUGUGACUAACUUUAUGACUUUAUAAGAGAAAGUAAUCUCAGAGGCGUUACUUACCUCAGUAAAAUGAAGGUAAUAACACUUAAACUACUUCAAACCAGAGUCUCGGAUCAGGAAAAUUUUGCCAUCUCUUCCAGAAAUAAGACACACAACUUUAAGAUUUCAUUGUUUUUCAGUAAGUUAAAUGUUUGCCAAGAAAGAAACUGUUGACUCUUCUAAUGAUGACAGUUAAAAUCUCAUACUCAAAGUAGGAGGAGGAGCAUUUUCAAAUAAAUCUAUAUUUUCAUGGACUCAGGAGUGUCACAGAGAACAGUAAGCUGUGCAUAAAGAUCACGACAUGAGUUUGAAGAACAGUAGAAUUUGGAUGGACCCAAAGAGAAAGAUAAGAUGUUACUAUGGAGAGACUCCACUCUAAGCACUAAUGUUGGACUUAAUCACGUGGUAAUUGCUGUUAAACAAGCACUCCUUGAGAGACAACAUCUCUCUUAUGAACAUCCCUUCAGAUGAACAAAACCAUCUCCUCCCCUCUUCUGAGGGAUUUGAAAAACAAAGCUUGCCUGUCUAUCUAAAGCAUAUUCUUCAGCUGUUGAGAAGAUUCAGAUGGAAAUGAGAGUGAACCCAGGAAAUAGGAGUUACAUUAUAAAUAUCUGAAUAAAUGAAGAAUUAUCAAAUAAAUUGAUGAAUGCAUCCAAGCUAUGACCUGGACCAAGAACUUCUGUGGUGGGAAAAAGAGAAGGUUUUCUCACUUAAGUGGCCCUCCUGAAUGAACUGUUUGCCUCUCCACAGUUGCCUAGUUUUGCCUUCCUACCUUACUGUGCCUUCCUUAAAUGAAACAGAUGGAGUUAAAGAAAUAGAAAAUCUACAAUAACAAAUAACAUUAUUUGUCCCCACUUACCACUCAAAAGGAGUCUGAGCCUCCUGUACCUACUUCUUCUGCUGGUUAAGUUAGAGAGAAAUCUGGAAGAUGGUGAUGGCACAUUUCUUGAAUCUGUCUGACUAUCCAUUAAAAUAAACAAAGUAAUGACUAUGGUAAAACCAAACACCCAUAUAAGAAAACAUAUGAAAAUAUAUUUUCCUGUACCUCCAAAUGUGAGUGGUGACCAACCACCAACAGUUCACAAUACAAGGUAUUCAUACCUGUGUGGGGAGACGCAGAAGGAAGACAACUGGAUAUCUGUUAGUUCUGAGAAUGGUGAGCACUGGGCUAAUCUGAGAAUAGCAUCAGAAAGAAUAUGACAGGUUUCUGUAGAAUCCAACUCAAAAAAGACUACAAUGGAUUAUACUACCAUAAAUUCUAAUGGUGCUUGAGGCAUCUGGGCUUAUAAACUCUCAAAAUUAUUAAAACAAAACCUAUCUUCCAAGGUU
Molecule: long non-coding RNA, 1748 nt
Organism: Herpailurus yagouaroundi (jaguarundi)
Lineage: Eukaryota; Metazoa; Chordata; Mammalia; Carnivora; Felidae
Exons: 4
Source: RefSeq, a predicted model, not a curated record